This 894-nucleotide long non-coding RNA is filed under the name Lonchura striata (white-rumped munia). RNAcentral describes it as "domestica (Bengalese finch) lncRNA (ENSLSDG00000001878.1)". Lineage: Eukaryota; Metazoa; Chordata; Aves; Passeriformes; Estrildidae. The record is from RNAcentral.
GGACGGUCCCAGGCUGAUCCCCGGACGAGCAAUCCUGGAACCAGUCCCGGCCUCAGCGCUGACUCCGGCAUUCCCACAUUCCCGGAUUCCUGGUAUUCCCGGAUUCCUGGUAUUCCCGGAUUCCUGGUAUUCCCGCAUUCCCGGCAUUCCCGGAUUCCUGGUAUUCCCGGAUUCCCGCAUUCCCAUAUUCCGGCAUUCCCGGAUUCCCGGAUUCCUGGUAUUCCUGGAUUCCCGGAUUCCUGGUAUUCCCGCAUUCCCACAUUCCCGCAUUCCCGCAUUCCCGCAUUCCUGGAUUCCUGCAUUCCCGCAUUCCCGCAUUCCUGGAUUCCUGGUAUUCCCGCGUUCCCGCAUUCCCGGAUUCCCACAUUCCCGCAUUCCUGGAUUCCCACAUUCCCGCAUUCCCGGAUCCCCGCAUUCCCGCAUUCCCGGAUUCCCCCAUUCCCACAUUCCCACAUUCCCGCAUUCCCGGAUUCCCGGAUUCCCAUGUUCCCGGAUUCCCGGAUUCCUGGCAUUCCCACAUUCCCGGAUCCCCCCAUUCCCGCAUUCCCGGAUUCCCGGAUUCCCAGAUUCCUGGCAUUCCCGGAUUCCCGGAUCCCCGCGUUCCCACGUUCCCGCAUUCCCACAUUCCCGCAUUCCCGCAUUCCCCCAUUCCCGCAUUCCCGGAUUCCUGGCAUUCCCGCAUUCCCACAUUCCCGCGUUCCCGCAUUCCCGGAUUCCCAGAUUCCUGGCAUUCCCGCAUUCCCACAUUCCCACAUUCCCGCGUUCCCGGAGUCAGCAGGAGCUGGCCUGCAGGCUGGCCUCGCUCAGCAGGGAGGCGAUGCCGGCGGAUCCGAGUUCCUCAUCCGAGCUCAGCCGCUCGUCCCGCAGCGCCGAGUCCACGGCGCGGCGCCUGCC